RNAcentral lists this unclassified non-coding RNA (222 nucleotides) under plant metagenome. RNAcentral describes it as "partial contains small subunit ribosomal RNA, internal transcribed spacer 1, and 5.8S ribosomal RNA". The record is from RNAcentral.
CCGUUGGUGAACCAGCGGAGGGAUCAUUACAGGACUCGCAAGACUCCUACAACCCUGUGAACUUAACUAUAAGCACGUUGCUUCGGCGGGUGUCUCGGAGGGGGUUCUCCCUCCCCGAGACGCUAAACCCGCCGGCAGCCUACUAUACUCUGUCUCUUUGCGUUGGCAUCUCGAGUACAAUCAAACAAGUUAAAACUUUCAACAACGGAUCUCUUGGUUCUG